ACGAACGCUGGCGGCAGGCCUAACACAUGCAAGUCGAGCGCACCUUCGGGUGAGCGGCGGACGGGUGAGUAACGCGUGAGAAUCUGGCUGUGGGUCGGGACAACCACUGGAAACGGUGGCUAAUACCGGAUGAGCCGAAAAGGUAAAGAUUUAUUGCCCACAGAUGAGCUCGCGUCUGAUUAGCUAGUUGGUAAGGUAAAAGCGUACCAAGGCGACGAUCAGUAGCUGGUCUGAGAGGAUGAGCAGCCACACUGGGACUGAGACACGGCCCAGACUCCUACGGGAGGCAGCAGUGGGGAAUUUUCCGCAAUGGGCGAAAAGCCUGACGGAGACAAGACCGCGUGGGGAGAGGUUUUGAUCGUAAACCCUUUGUCAAGGAAGAAGUUCUGACGGUAC
Molecule: ribosomal RNA, 396 nt
Filed under: uncultured cyanobacterium
Lineage: Bacteria; Bacillati; Cyanobacteriota
Description: bacterial SSU rRNA
Rfam family: Bacterial small subunit ribosomal RNA
Source: RNAcentral